UGAGAGUUGAGAGACAGCGGCUGAAGCUUGCGAACGGCGAACCCGAACUGGAACAGCGGGCGAUGAAAACUGAAAUAUAUGGGUUUUGAUUUUUUGAACAAUCUGAAAUGAUAUGCCGAUUUGGGUUUUGAUAUAGUUGCAGAGAGAGAGAGAGAGAGAAGGAGAAGGCAAGUUCAGAGUUGAGAACGAGAAGAGAGAUGGAGGCGGCGAUUGGUGAGGCUGAAACGAUUUGCCCUAAAUAUAUAUAUAUAUAUAUAUAGAUAAUAAAAAAUAUAUAACAUACAUAUAUAUAUAUAUAUAAAAAUUUCCCAAAAAUUUUUUUAUUUUAUUUUUAAACUCAACCCGUCAACCCGACUUAACUCGUCCGAAAACAUUCGAUUCGGGUUAUAACCACAACCCAUGUUGGGUGCAAUUCGGGUUGAGAUUGGGUUGGGACUGGGCUGGGUUGGGCCAACCCAACUUGCAGCCCUAGUAUUUAGCCCCAGUAACGACUACUGGAAGGCCUUCGUCGUUUUACUGUGGGUUAGGAUCAUAUACAUUACAGACCAUUGUCGUUUUACUGUGGUCUGCAACUAUAAUAUAGUAGUGUUAUUACACUAAUGUUGCAUUUUUAAUGUAAAUAUGUUGCGUUGCAUAAUAUUGCACAUAUGAUGAUAUAAUGUGUGGGCAAUGGAAUGUUUUUGUAAGAUUAUAGAAAUGCUUGAUUGACCGUUGCAAAAAAAAUAAAAAAACCUUCCAUGA
This is a long non-coding RNA of Cornus florida, 741 nucleotides long. RefSeq lists it as uncharacterized. The transcript has 2 exons. NCBI's taxonomy places the organism in Eukaryota, Viridiplantae, Streptophyta, Magnoliopsida, Cornales, Cornaceae. The record is from RefSeq and is a predicted model, not a curated record.